GCGUCUGCGCUCGGGAAAAGAGGCCACCGCCACCAGCACCUCCUGCAGAUAAACUCUCUCCCUUUCAAAUCUUCCCACCUCCCACCCCAUACCCUCGAUCCCUGGAAGGCCUUCCGCUCUCUCCCUUCGUCUCCGACGCCGAGGAAAUAUGAGCAGCCGAGCCAGCCGAACCGUCUAUGUGGGAAACCUACCAGGAGAUAUUCGUGAGAGAGAGGUUGAGGAUCUGUUUUACAAGUAUGGACCCAUUAUUGAUAUUGAUUUGAAGAUUCCUCCAAGGCCUCCAGGUUAUGCAUUCAUUGAGUUUGAAGAUGCUCGUGAUGCUGAAGAUGCUAUUUAUGGUCGUGAUGGUUAUAAUUUUGAUGGUCACAGAUUACGGGUGGAACUUGCACAUGGUGGGAGAGGCUAUUCUUCUUCUGUGGACCGUUACAGCAGUUACAGUCGUGGUGGAGUCUCGAGGCGCUCUGAAUAUCGUGUGCUGGUUACUGGUUUACCUUCUUCUGCCUCAUGGCAAGACCUGAAGGAUCACAUGCGUCGUGCUGGUGAUGUCUGUUUCUCUGAAGUGUUUCGUGAUGGCAGAGGCACUUCAGGCAUUGUAGACUAUACGAACUAUGAUGAUAUGAAAUAUGCGGUCAGAAAACUUGACGACUCUGAAUUCCGGAAUGCAUUUUCUCGGGCAUAUAUAAGAGUAAGGGAAUAUGAUCGGAGGCGAAGCCUAUCUAGGAGCCGCAGCCGUUCCUACUCCAGAAGCAGAAGCCCUAGCCAUAGUCACAGUUAUGGCCGUAGCAGCAGCCACAGCCGAAGCAACUCUCCAAAAGGCAGGUCAGCACAUCGCUCGUUUUCUAGAUCUCGAUCAAGAUCUGUUUCAUCUCGCUCUCGUUCGGGAUCAAGGGAGCACUCUCUGUCAGGAUACGGGCUUGUGCGGCGAUUUGGGGAUUGCAUAGUGGGGACUUGAUGGGAUACUGCAAGUGCCUACGAUCUUUUGGUGAUGUAUGCUGUUCAAUAAAAUGAGAAAGUCUUGGAAACCUGGCUUUUUAUUUAAAAAAAUAAUAAUAAAAUACCACAUGUUAUAUGGCAUAUAGCUAGUAGCAAUGGGAGUUGAGGGGGACUGAAUGGAUGGGUUGAGCUGGAUUACUCAGAACUAAGUGGAAUUGAGACUCGCCAAACAGUGGUAGAAAGAAUGAUCAUUUCUUCUCCAAGUUCACCUCACCAUUAGGAGUUGCGCUCAGGAGCUUGGAUAUGGAUUUUGGUGGUACAGAUAGAAAAGUAUUUCUUCACUCCUUGUAUGUUACACAUAAUAGAUUCUUUUAUUUUCUCCUUAGGUUUUUGCUGUCUGGUAGCUGGCAGUCGUAUUAUAGUCUUCCUUGAUUGCGGCUGCUGUCUUCCUUUCUCCAUUUACAAUGUUUUGAAGAAUAAUCAAUGGUUUAUUUUCCUGUGCUGCUAAAGUUAUUUGAGUUUUUCUUCUGUUACUAUGGUACUCUGACGUGGAAGAGGCGUCGAGGCUUUUGGAUCAAGUUUAAAAAGCAACUUGAUGGAUAUUGUGGAUAUUGAAUUCGGUUGUUUCUGGAACUUUUGCAGAUCACGAUCAAGAUCCAGAUCACCAAUUGCUUCACCCCCGCGGGACAAACGAGCGAGCAGGAGCACGAGCUCAUCUCGGUCUAGAUCUCCUGCUAUGCCUGAUCGUAGCCGAUCUGUUGAUUCUCGAGGCCGUUAAAGGAGAAGUAACUGCCUGAGCUGAAUAGGUGCAAAAUUUUACAGAAGACUCUUAAUACUCGGACAUUUGGUUAUUGCUGUUAGAAAUGAUCUCGUGUUGUAAACUUUUCGAUCGUAGGACGUGAUAUUAUUUAUGUGAUAAAAAUAUAUCGUUUGUGUCGGGUAUUGAUGCUGUAGUUGGCAGGAUCUUGUGCAUUGCAGUGAGUUCACUCUUUGAUGCUGCCUUUUAUUAGUAAGGUGGGUGACAAAUGCAUACUGUUGGGCAUGCUUUCGACU
Non-coding RNA from Elaeis guineensis (African oil palm), 1986 nucleotides. The record is from RefSeq and is a predicted model, not a curated record. Lineage: Eukaryota; Viridiplantae; Streptophyta; Magnoliopsida; Arecales; Arecaceae.